CUGCUGUGUGCCAUCAAGCAGCAAAUCAACAAGGGCUCCAUCGACGCCAUCACGGGCAAGGCCCGCUACACACUCAAUGAGGAGUGGCUGCUGCGGGAGAACAUCGAGGCCAAGCCCCGGAACCUGAACGUGUCCUUCCAGGGCUGUGGCAUGGACUCGCUGAGCGUGCGGGCCAUGGACACCGACACGCUGACACAGGUCAAGGAGAAGAUCCUGGAGGCCUUCUGCAAGAAUGUGCCCUACUCCCAGUGGCCACGUGCAGAGGACGUCGACCUUGGUGGGUGGGAAUGGGGGCAGAGACCCCGUGUCAGGCGCUUCAGCCGGGGCUGGCCCCUGCCUUGACGGGAAACACUCCUUUCACCUGGCAUGGGUGCAUGAAUGUGGGGACACUGAGAGGAUCCAAUGAGGCCCCCUCAGCAAGAAGCUCUUACUCUGUAGGAGACAAGUCCUGCAGUGUGAGUGAACUACAGACAACAGCAAAAAGCCUUCAGGAAAGGCUUCCUAAUUCCUAAAGGAGGGAUGCUGGAGUAGGGUUUGUUUGUUUGUUUGUUUGUUUGUUUGUUUUUGAGACGGGAUCUCAUUCUGUCACCCAGGCUGGAGUGC
This 603-nucleotide small RNA is filed under the name Pan troglodytes (chimpanzee). RNAcentral's name for it is "retained intron". Lineage: Eukaryota; Metazoa; Chordata; Mammalia; Primates; Hominidae. The record is from RNAcentral.